AUGGCGUGGGAGGGGAGAAUGAGUGGAUUGCAGAGGACCGUGCAGGCCCCGGGAGUCCAGCUGGCCACUGGUCGGCCAGCCACCUCAAGAUCCUGCUACCAAGUCUUCUCCACAAAGGACUGUACCCUGCAUGUGUGAGCUAAAAUAAAUCCUUCCUUCAUUUGC
Peromyscus eremicus (cactus mouse) is the source of this 165-nucleotide long non-coding RNA. RefSeq lists it as uncharacterized. The record is from RefSeq and is a predicted model, not a curated record. The transcript has 2 exons. Lineage: Eukaryota; Metazoa; Chordata; Mammalia; Rodentia; Cricetidae.